Molecule: ribosomal RNA, 507 nt
Filed under: uncultured Agaricales
Lineage: Eukaryota; Fungi; Basidiomycota; Agaricomycetes; Agaricales
Description: eukaryotic LSU rRNA
Rfam family: Eukaryotic large subunit ribosomal RNA (bases 452-507)
Source: RNAcentral
AUAGAUAGACGUGAAUCAUCGAAUCUUUGAACGCACUUUGCACCUUGUGGCUUUUGUCACUAGGUAUACUUGUUUGAGUAUCCAAAACAAUCUCACCUCCCCUUCGGGGCGAAGUGGACUUGAGAGCAUCGAUGAGAGUACGUGUGCGCCUUACGGAGCAAGCGUGUCGUGUCGUCUCUUUGAAUACAUGGUCCUUUGUGGGAGGUCUCCGUCUGGAGCCUGACAGACUAUUGGGAUAACAUCCUGACGAUCGUUUGUCGGCUCACGUAUGAUUUGGACGUUGACUAACCUUGGCCAACCCGGAAGCGCUCUUAUCGGUAAAAGGAUAUGGGGCAAAUCCAUCAUGGUGCGUAAGGACAUAUGGGUAUAAUAUGACACUAUUGCUAUACAUUUAUGUGUAGUGGUGGGUGUAAUAGUGUAUUUGUUUGGUCCUAUCGUGUACAUGUGCAAUGGAUCUCAAAUCAAGUAAGGAUACCCGCUGAACUUAAGCAUAUCAAUAAGCGGAGG